UAGGGAAUUUUCGGCAAUGGGGGAAACCCUGACCGAGCAACGCCGCGUGAAGGAAUAAGGUUUUCGGAUUGUAAACUUCUGUUAUAAAGGAAGAACGGCGGCUACAGGAAAUGGUAGCCGAGUGACGGUACUUUAUUAGAAAGCCACGGCUAACUACGUGCCAGCAGCCGCGGUAAUACGUAGGUGGCAAGCGUUAUCCGGAAUUAUUGGGCGUAAAGAGGGAGCAGGCGGCAGCAAGGGUCUGUGGUGAAAGCCUGAAGCUUAACUUCAGUAAGCCAUAGAAACCAGGCAGCUAGAGUGCAGGAGAGGAUCGUGGAAUUCCAUGUGUAGCGGUGAAAUGCGUAGAUAUAUGGAGGAACACCAGUGGCGAAGGCGACGAUCUGGCCUGCAACUGACGCUCAGUCCCGAAAGCGUGGGGAGCAAAUAGGAUUAGAUACCCUGGUA
This 444-nucleotide ribosomal RNA is filed under the name uncultured bacterium. RNAcentral describes it as "bacterial SSU rRNA". It matches the Rfam family "Bacterial small subunit ribosomal RNA", at positions 355 to 792 of the family's 1533-position model. The record is from RNAcentral.